CAAUAAAGCCGAAUGAAAUCGCUGUAUUAGCUUCCUUAAUCUUUGUCCAAAAAGGAAAAAUCUCCGAACAAACAAACAGGUCGCAACGGGAAAAAGAAGGAAGGACGGUAAAUUAGGGUGAGAAGCAAAACAAUGGAAAGAGGAAAGAGGGGGAGACGAUAAAAUAAAAAUCAGUAGCGACCAAAACAGAGGGGGAGGGAUCCCGCUUGUCUGGGUUACACCUUAUCCCAUCCAUCCGGGCAUCACAUUCCAAUAAUCAUCCAAUACGAAUCCGUUUGGUUUUGUCGUCUGUCACACAAAAAUCAGAAAUCCCCCGAAUCGUCGCUUGCCCUUCGAUCAAACCCUCGAAGAAGAGGAUACCCAUUUGGCCAAUUCCUGAGAAUCCGUUCCCCCAUGGAGAACAACCAGCAAGCCCAGUCGUCCUCGUACCCCCCUCAAACCCCUGCUGCUCCUCCCCCUUUCCACCACCUUCUCCAGCAGCAGCAGCAGCAGCUCCAGAUGUUCUGGUCUUACCAGCGACAAGAAAUCGAGCAUGUCAACGAUUUCAAGAACCACCAGCUCCCUCUCGCUCGAAUCAAGAAGAUCAUGAAGGCCGACGAGGACGUCCGCAUGAUCUCUGCCGAGGCUCCCAUUUUGUUUGCCAAGGCCUGCGAGCUUUUCAUCCUCGAGCUCACCAUACGGUCGUGGCUUCACGCCGAGGAGAACAAGAGGAGGACCCUCCAGAAGAACGACAUAGCCGCUGCCAUCACCAGGACCGACAUCUUCGAUUUCUUGGUCGAUAUUGUGCCCAGAGAUGAGAUCAAGGACGAGGCUGGCCUUGGUGGCAUUGUGGGCACCACGGCCAGCGGUGUCCCUUAUUAUUAUCCUCCCAUGGGCCAACCUGCUGGCCCCCCCGGAGGCAUGAUUAUUGGACGGCCGGCGGUGGAUCCCACUGGGGUGUACGUGCAGCCCCCCUCGCAGGCUUGGCAGUCGGUAUGGCAGACCGCUGCUGAGGAUGGAUCAUACGGUAGCGGCGGCAACAGUGGACAGGGCAACCUUGAUGGUCCGAGGAUGGAGGAUUUUAAGGCCACCUGAGUCUUCUGUGGCAAACUAGGAGCUCAAUGUCAUGUUUGUUAGUCUCGUAUAAGCACUGGCGUCCUCCUCAACUUUUAUAUCGUCCAUUACCACUUGAGUGUGGUAGCUCAGGGAAGAACUUCAAUGAACAGAGGGAUUUAUGAAAGUAAUAGGCCAUCAUAGGAAGGGACUUAUAAGAGCUUCAUUCUGAAAAGCUUUUAAACUUCAAGGGGCAAGGAAGAUAUUAAUGCUGUUCUACAAGUGUCUUGCAUUCUUUUUAUCUCUUAGUCAAACGGAUCUUACCCUCCGCUCUAUGAUAUAGUUGAGCAACAAUGCGAAUGAUGCAGUGUUGACUGUUGGGGUUAUGCAGAUGGUGGCCUUGUGCUUGGAGUUUUUGAUUGCUUGCGAGAAAUGCUUUGUUAACUAUUAAUUUAUACAGGAUAACGUUCCAAACCUGUUAACUUGAUUUAGCAAAUGAACGACAUCAUAAUUUAACUGUUUGAUGUACAAAUAUUCGUAACUGAACGCUGAUCCUCUCUGUCUAAUGCAUGCCGCAACAUGUUUGAUAUGACCCUUUCA
Molecule: RNA transcript, 1632 nt
Organism: Prosopis cineraria
Lineage: Eukaryota; Viridiplantae; Streptophyta; Magnoliopsida; Fabales; Fabaceae
Gene name: nuclear transcription factor Y subunit C-1-like
Exons: 4
Source: RefSeq, a predicted model, not a curated record